Molecule: long non-coding RNA, 555 nt
Filed under: Ursus maritimus (polar bear)
Lineage: Eukaryota; Metazoa; Chordata; Mammalia; Carnivora; Ursidae
Description: lncRNA (ENSUMAG00000010232.1)
Source: RNAcentral
UUCCAUGCAUGGGGUCAAGCUGUGUGGCAAGAAGCAGUCCUCGGCCAGCUCCGGGUAGGGGGAGGCUGUCCCAGGAUUUAGAGGGACAAAGGAAGUCCCUGCCUCGGCAGCCUGUCCCAGGAGACCCCAAGACACGCAGAGACCACACGCUUGCUCACCAUUCCCAAACAGCCCUCUGGAGACUUGAACUCUAAGUGCAGCUAAAAAGAAAGAAAACGCUGGAUGUCAUGCAAGAGAACAUCCGUUCUUGCCGCUCUGCCAGCAGCGCCCCACACCCGACCUGGCCCCUGCCAGGCUGCGACCCCCACAGCGACCUGGGCCUCUAGGCUGGACCCAGGCAGACCCCCCAGCGCCCACCCUGCGUCGGUGUCAGGCUCUGGCCACGGAUCCCGCUGUCUUCCUGGAACUGCUCCGCACUUUCCAAUCAACAGGCACCGAGUUUCACGGCCUUCAUCUCGACACUCAGGUGGAACUGAACCCAGCGCCGCUCGAGGCAGGAAAAGCUGUGGCCAGCAGCAUGCGAUGAGUGUGAGGGGAGUGUCUGCCUUGGAAUGA